GAUGAACGCUAGCUACAGGCUUAACACAUGCAAGUCGAGGGGAAACGACAUCGAAAGCUUGCUUUUGGUGGGCGUCGACCGGCGCACGGGUGAGUAACGCGUAUCCAACCUGCCCACCACUUGGGGAUAACCUUGCGAAAGUAAGACUAAUACCCAAUGAUAUCCCACGAAGGCAUCCGAAUGGGAUUAAAGAUUUAUCGGUGAUGGAUGGGGAUGCGUCUGAUUAGCUUGUUGGCGGGGUAACGGCCCACCAAGGCAACGAUCAGUAGGGGUUCUGAGAGGAAGGUCCCCCACAUUGGAACUGAGACACGGUCCAAACUCCUACGGGAGGCAGCAGUGAGGAAUAUUGGUCAAUGGGCGAGAGCCUGAACCAGCCAAGUAGCGUGAGGGACGACUGCCCUAUGGGUUGUAAACCUCUUUUAUAAGGGAAUAAAAUACGGGACGUGUCCUGUUUUGCAUGUACCUUAUGAAUAAGGACCGGCUAAUUCCGUG
Molecule: ribosomal RNA, 492 nt
Filed under: uncultured bacterium
Lineage: Bacteria
Description: bacterial SSU rRNA
Rfam family: Bacterial small subunit ribosomal RNA
Source: RNAcentral